GCCGGCAUAGCUCAGUUGGCAGAGCGUCUCACUUGUAAUGAGAUGGUCCUCCGUUCGAUUCGGGGUGCCGGCU
RNAcentral lists this transfer RNA (73 nucleotides) under Desulfoluna spongiiphila. It matches the Rfam family "tRNA". From Rfam's summary of the family: Transfer RNA (tRNA) molecules are approximately 80 nucleotides in length. The record is from Rfam by way of RNAcentral. Lineage: Bacteria; Pseudomonadati; Thermodesulfobacteriota; Desulfobacteria; Desulfobacterales; Desulfolunaceae.